RNAcentral lists this unclassified non-coding RNA (324 nucleotides) under Hevea brasiliensis (rubber tree). Lineage: Eukaryota; Viridiplantae; Streptophyta; Magnoliopsida; Malpighiales; Euphorbiaceae. The record is from RNAcentral.
AGAUUAUCACAGAUAUUUAAGCUCUCGAUAUCUCCAUAUUUGCUGAGCUCCUCAAAGAGGUCCUGAUAAAAAUCUUCGAAGUGGUCUUGGAUCUUGCGGGGGUCGAGGGACUGAGACUGCGCCUGAGAAUCGACGCCAGGAGUGAGCAUGUCGGGGCGCUGGUACAUGUUGGAGAGGAGAAGGGUAGGGCUGAUGCUGGGCUUGGUGUGGAGCCUAGAGCAGCGAUCUCCAUGCCUGCAGGCUCCGAUCUUGAAGUAAAAAGGGCAGUUCACUCUGUCCUUCUCUGUUCCGAAUAUGGAAGCUAAGUGCUCCGCCAUGAUUUUC